AACGCUGGCGGCGUGCCUAAUACAUGCAAGUCGAACGGCUUUUCUAUGGAAGCUUGCUUCCACUGAGAAGAUAGUGGCGAACGGGUGAGUAACACGUGGGUAACCUGCCCAUAAGAGGGGGGAUAACAUCCGGAAACGGGUGCUAAUACCGCAUAGUUUUCUUGAUCGCAUGAUUGAGAAAGGAAAGACGGCCUUUGUGCUGUCGCUUAUGGAUGGACCCGCGGCGUAUUAGUUAGUUGGUGAGGUAACGGCUCACCAAGACGAUGAUACGUAGCCGACCUGAGAGGGUGAUCGGCCACAUUGGGACUGAGACACGGCCCAAACUCCUACGGGAGGCAGCAGUAGGGAAUCUUCCGCAAUGGACGAAAGUCUGACGGAGCAACGCCGCGUGAGUGAAGAAAAGGGUUUUCGGAUCGUAAAACUCUAGUUGUCAGAGAAGAACAAGUUGGAGAGUAACUGCUCCAGCCUUGACGGUAUCUGACCAGAAAGCCACGGCUAACUACGUGCCAGCCGCCGC
Molecule: ribosomal RNA, 517 nt
Filed under: uncultured bacterium
Lineage: Bacteria
Description: bacterial SSU rRNA
Rfam family: Bacterial small subunit ribosomal RNA
Source: RNAcentral